RNA transcript from Magnolia sinica, 2469 nucleotides. RefSeq lists it as uncharacterized. NCBI's taxonomy places the organism in Eukaryota, Viridiplantae, Streptophyta, Magnoliopsida, Magnoliales, Magnoliaceae. The record is from RefSeq and is a predicted model, not a curated record. The transcript has 3 exons.
CGAAACGAAAAAGGGCACCCUCUCCGACGGAGCGCGAGCGAGAAAAAGCUCCAGUGCUUCCACAGCCGAGUUCAGGUACGCCGUUUUUAGUGCGUCUCACCCAUCCCGAAUUCCAACGUAAUCUCCCGAGAUCUGAUUUUCAAUUCGCAGGAUCUAGUUGAAAAGAAGUUGGAGCUUCUCAUUUGUGAUCAUCGAAGUGGAGACAAAAUGCUUGGUAUGCCGAGAGAGGGUGAAAAUGCUUUGAUUAUGGGAGGUCCAAGACCUAUGGAAUGGUCUACGGUUCCAUAUGGUGCUUUUCAAGCACCAGGACAAAAUGGAAAACAACGGACGUCUAGCUUGGAGUCACCAAUCAUGUUGCUAACCGGCCACCAAAGUGCUAUAUAUACCAUGAAAUUCAAUCCAGCAGGAACAGUGAUUGCAUCUGGAUCUCAUGACAAAGAGAUUUUCCUGUGGUACGUUCAUGGGGAGUGCAAAAAUUUCAUGGUCUUGAAAGGGCAUAAGAAUGCAGUAUUGGAUCUUCACUGGACCACUGAUGGUAGCCAGAUCAUAUCUGCUAGUCCCGAUAAGACUCUGAGAGCAUGGGAUGUUGAAACAGGGAAGCAAGUAAAGAAAAUGGCAGAGCACUCAUCGUUUGUGAAUUCAUGCUGCCCUUCGCGAAGGGGUCCACCACUUGUUGUCAGUGGAUCUGAUGAUGGAACUGCAAAACUCUGGGACCUGCGACAAAGGGGUGCCAUUCAGACAUUUCCAGACAAAUACCAAAUCACUGCCGUUGGCUUCGCUGAUGCAUCAGACAAGAUAUUCACUGGUGGAAUCGACAAUGAUGUGAAGAUAUGGGAUCUGCGAAGAAAUGAGGUUACUAUGACUCUUCAGGGCCAUGCGGACAUGAUAACAGGUAUGCAAUUGAGCCCUGAUGGCUCCUAUCUCCUAACCAACUCCAUGGAUUGCUCUCUUCGCAUUUGGGACAUGCGCCCAUAUGCCCCACAGAAUCGUUGUGUGAAGAUACUAGCAGGGCAUCAACAUAACUUUGAGAAGAACUUGCUGAAAUGUAGCUGGUCACCUGAUGGAAGCAAGGUCACAGCUGGUAGUGCAGACAGAAUGGUGUAUAUCUGGGAUACAACUUCACGACGCAUUUUGUAUAAGCUUCCUGGACACACUGGUUCUGUGAAUGAGUGUGUCUUCCAUCCUAGCGAGCCUAUUAUUGGAUCUUGCAGCAGUGACAAGCAGAUCUAUCUGGGGGAGAUUGAAGCUACUUCAGGAUAUCAACAACCCCCAAAAUGAACGUUUAAGUAGUUUGACCUACCAAAAAAGUGUGGGGUCCCUUAGCGAUGAUGGACAGAGUUAAAAAGGCUCACAUUGGCACCACUCACAUACCAACACGGCUCCAACUUAGCAUUGACCCCUGCCCAACUCUUGCAUGCACGUGAUCCAACAAAGUAGGAUCAUGGAGGGGUAAUUGCCUGGAAAACUACCAAGCGCAAAGCACCCAUGCAUAGGGAAGGUCAUGCCUGAGUAGCUGGCUGCACAAAAUAGCAGGGAAUGCUGCCAAGCAUGAUUAUCGAAGCGGCUCACAUGCCAACACAAUUGAAGCUUCAUAACUGCACCUUAGCAUGGCUGUUGCAUGUACCUUCAAGGGUGAAAUUGCUAAUUGAUGUCUAGAGCAUGCAGUGCCAUACGAGCUUGCUUAGUUCAUAGUUGCACAUGCAUGGCUCAGUCUUUAAGACAAGCAUACGAGUACUGGUAGGAUCAUCAUUCCUUCACAGCACUGUCGCCAUCACUGCCCCAACAAGGGGGAAGCAAUAGAGCAGGUCAUCUUUUGCUACAAGUAAAGAAAGAAGGGACCAAGGCUAGAGCCAGAUUGAUAGCAUCCUCCAUAUCUGAAAGCACACAUAGGUCCUAUGCAUGAGCCACAAUAAUAGUCAACCGAUGAACUAAUAGAUGCACAACUGCUACUUCAAGGGCCACCUCAUGUCAGCCACAAUCAGGGGAGCAAGAGGCAAAAGAAGCAUUUGCAGAUGAGUUCCCUCAUAAGAGGCAAUAAACAUAGGCAGUCAAGUUGGCACUGAAGCACACAAAUUGUCAUUGGACUGGUGAGUGUAAAGGACAUGCUCAGAUAGUUGGCCAUGCGGGGAAUGGUAGGGGUCCAAACACAUGGCAUCACAAUCAUGCCCAACUUGGGCAUAACUAAUUGUGCAUUAUUUCUCCCAAAAAAGUUUGGAUCAUUGGAUGGGACCCCACCUGUACAAAUUGCAAACCUGAUCAAACUGUAUAAAUUCUUUGGGCAGAGUAUUGUAUAAUGCCUCAUUCUGGCAUGGGAGAUCAAUCUCCUUGGUUAUUAGUGAUGUCCUAAUAUUUUACACCAUCUGGUUGUUUGACUGAAAAACUUUUCAGCUUGAUAACAUGGCAUUAGACCCCCACGUACCCCAUCCGUUACCAUUAUUAAUUUCACCUGUUACUUUUUUUUAGGCUGCA